This 253-nucleotide ribosomal RNA is filed under the name uncultured bacterium. RNAcentral describes it as "partial 16S ribosomal RNA". It matches the Rfam family "Bacterial small subunit ribosomal RNA", at positions 524 to 776 of the family's 1533-position model. The record is from RNAcentral.
GACUGAGGCCUCAAGCGUUAGGCGGAAUCACUGGGCUUAAAGCGUGUGUAGGCGGACUUCUAAGUGCCUUGUGAAAUCCCACGGCUCAACCGUGGAACUGCUGGGCAUACUGGGAGUCUUGGGCCAUUCAGGGGCAACUGGAACAAGCGGUGGAGCGGUGAAAUGCGUAGAUAUCAGGAGGAACACCGGUGGCGAAGGCGGGUCUCUGGGCCGAUACUGACGCUGAGGAGCGAAAGCGUGGGGAGCGAACAGG